Orcinus orca (killer whale) is the source of this 303-nucleotide RNA transcript. It is a transcript of the gene named 40S ribosomal protein S21-like, with no coding region annotated. The transcript has a single exon. The record is from RefSeq and is a predicted model, not a curated record. Lineage: Eukaryota; Metazoa; Chordata; Mammalia; Artiodactyla; Delphinidae.
AUGCGGAACGACACCAGCGAGUUCAUGGACCUGUGCAUGCUGCGGAAAUGCUCGUCCAGCUACCGCAUCAUCACUGCCAAGGACCACGCGCCAUCCAGAUGAACGUGGCCGAGGCUGACACGGUGACAGGCACGUUCAACGGCGAGUUUAAAACCUGUGCUAUCUGCGGGGCCAUUCACAGGAUGGGUGAGUCAGAUGAUUCCAUUCUCCGACUGGCCAAGACCGAUGGCACCGUCUCAAAGAACUUCUGACUGGAGAGGAUCACAGAUGUGGAGUAUAUGUCAUAAAUAAAUAGUGAAAACC